GUGUGAUCUAGCCCCAAAACCAACCUAGACACACUGGUUAUCCAGCUCUCUCAACCCAUAAUCAAGAGUGUUCAUGACCAAUACUCACCAAACCUUUUUUGCCUCAGAACCUUUGAAUAUUGUGCUCAUUCUAAUUCUAGAUCUUCUUCCCACCACCACCAGCACAUGCACACACACACACUCAGCACCAUUCCCUCUGCCAAAGCCUUCACAUAAUUUGGGUCCUCAGAAGUCUUUUCUAAGUCAUUGCCUAAAUUACUCCUAGCCCAUCCAAACCCCCAUCCAAGCUCCCAUCCAAGCCUCUGCUGCUUCUUCAUCUCCACCCUUGUUUCCUUCAGGGCACUCAUCACAUGUAAGUCUCCAAUGGCUUCCCAGUGCCUGACAUAGUCCCUGACACCUGGAGGGUCCUCAAUGAAAUGUUGUGGGACAAAUGAGCUAAGGAAUGAAGAUUUCUCUGGGCUUCAGCAGUCAACUAGCCAACAAUGGAAGAGAGAGAAUAUUCUCUGUGGAGGAAGAUUUCUUGUGGACAAAACUUGGAUAUUGUACACAUCAUUACUACCCAAAUUCUCUCAGCCAAAAUUCUGUUGUAUGGCCAUCCAUAGCCACAAGAGAUACUGGGAUAUGUAGCUCUGGUUGUGUUUCUAGAAAGAAUAAGAAGUUUUGAUGACGUUGUCACAGUUGGUUUAUGAAUACUUUUACAUUGUGGUCAACUUUGCUUCUACAAACUCAUAAUUGCUUAGAAUCAGGUGAUAAAUGUUCAAAAAUAAGGGCCUCCUAUAAACCUUAGAAAAUAAAUAAUGGUCUAGUAAUCAGUUACAAACUAAACUGUACUGGAGGUGAACAUUUUUCUUUUUCAUGUUGUAAGCAAA
Molecule: long non-coding RNA, 869 nt
Filed under: Mustela putorius furo (domestic ferret)
Lineage: Eukaryota; Metazoa; Chordata; Mammalia; Carnivora; Mustelidae
Description: lncRNA (ENSMPUG00000028374.1)
Source: RNAcentral